UACGAAGGGGACUAGCGUUGUUCGGAAUCACUGGGCGUAAAGCGCACGUAGGCGGAUUCGUAAGUCAGGGGUGAAAUCCCGGGGCUCAACCUCGGAACUGCCUUUGAUACUGCGGGUCUUGAGUCCGAUAGAGGUGGGUGGAAUUCCUAGUGUAGAGGUGAAAUUCGUAGAUAUUAGGAAGAACACCGGUGGCGAAGGCGGCCCACUGGAUCGGUACUGACGCUGAGGUGCGAAAGCGUGGGGAGCAAACGGG
This 253-nucleotide ribosomal RNA is filed under the name uncultured bacterium. Its description in RNAcentral is "partial 16S ribosomal RNA". It matches the Rfam family "Bacterial small subunit ribosomal RNA", at positions 524 to 776 of the family's 1533-position model. The record is from RNAcentral.